Molecule: long non-coding RNA, 397 nt
Filed under: Numida meleagris (helmeted guineafowl)
Lineage: Eukaryota; Metazoa; Chordata; Aves; Galliformes; Numididae
Description: lncRNA (ENSNMEG00000016437.1)
Source: RNAcentral
AGGAAGAUGUCCUCUGGUUGGAUUUUUUGAUAAUAGCAGUCUGAAAUACAAUGAUUUUCACCUUUGUCUUUCUGUCUUUGUUUUAUAUUAGGAGACAACAAGUUGUGAAGAAUGUGACGUCCUAGGAAAAUGACGAUGUGUAACUACACAAUGGGAAAAAACAGAGAGGAACCUGGAGCUGGGGCUGUCCUUCUGUUCCCCGUCAGCCUGGACAACCUCUGAGCUCCUGGCAUUUCUGGUCCUGGGGAGCUGCCAGCCUGCACAGUGCCAUGACAGACCAACAGCAAAGAUUCUGCUCAGGACUGUACACGGAGUGACAAAAAACAGAGUGGUGAAAGGUAAGAAAACCCCAUAGAAACGCACUGCACUAUAAACAGUGUUUACAAAAUAGAAUGUU